Molecule: ribosomal RNA, 253 nt
Filed under: uncultured bacterium
Lineage: Bacteria
Description: partial 16S ribosomal RNA
Rfam family: Bacterial small subunit ribosomal RNA
Source: RNAcentral
UACGUAGGGUGCGAGCGUUAAUCGGAAUUACUGGGCGUAAAGCGUGCGCAGGCGGUGAUGUAAGACAGGUGUGAAAGCCCCGGGCUUAACCUGGGAACUGCAUUUGUGACUGCAUCGCUGGAGUGCGGCAGAGGGGGAUGGAAUUCCGCGUGUAGCAGUGAAAUGCGUAGAUAUGCGGAGGAACACCGAUGGCGAAGGCAAUCCCCUGGGCCUGCACUGACGCUCAUGCACGAAAGCGUGGGGAGCAAACAGG